This 440-nucleotide ribosomal RNA is filed under the name uncultured bacterium. Its description in RNAcentral is "bacterial SSU rRNA". It matches the Rfam family "Bacterial small subunit ribosomal RNA", at positions 338 to 795 of the family's 1533-position model. The record is from RNAcentral.
CCUACGGGACGCACCAGUGGGGAAUAUUGGACAAUGGGCGAAAGCCUGAUCCAGCAAUGCCGCGUGUGUGAAGAAGGUCUUCGGAUUGUAAAGCACUUUCGACGGGGACGAUGUUGACGGUACCCGUAGAAGAAGCCCCGGCUAACUUCGUGCCAGCAGCCGCGGUAAUACGAAGGGGGCUAGCGUGGCUCGGAAUGACUGGGCGUAAAGGGCGCGUAGGCGGUUUAUGCAGUCAGAUGUGAAAUCCCCGGGCUUAACCUGGGAACUGCAUUUGAGACGCAUAGACUAGAGGUCGAGAGAGGGUUGUGGAAUUCCCAGCGUAGAGGUGAAAUUCGUAGAUAUUGGGAAGAACACCGGUGGCGAAGGCGGCAACCUGGCUCGAUACUGACGCUAAGGCGCGAAAGCGUGGGGAGCAAACAGGAUUAGAUACCCCGGUAGUC